AGAGUUUGAUCCUGGCUCAGAUUGAACGCUGGCGGAACGCUUUACACAUGCAAGUCGAACGGUAACGUGGGGAGGAGCUUGCUCCACCCCGACGACGAGUGGCGAACGGGUGAGUAAUACAUCGGAACGUGUCCGCUUGUGGGGGACAACCAGCCGAAAGGUUGGCUAAUACCGCAUGAGUUCUACGGAAGAAAGAGGGGGACCCGCAAGGGCCUCUCGCGAGCGGAGCGGCCGAUGACUGAUUAGCCGGUUGGUGAGGUAACGGCUCACCAAAGCAACGAUCAGUAGCUGGUCUGAGAGGACGACCAGCCACACUGGGACUGAGACACGGCCCAGACUCCUACGGGAGGCAGCAGUGGGGAAUUUUGGACAAUGGGCGCAAGCCUGAUCCAGCUAUUCCGCGUGUGGGAUGAAGGCCCUCGGGUUGUAAACCACUUUUGUAGAGAACGAAAAGACACCAUCGAAUAAAUGGUGUUGCUGACGGUACUCUAAGAAUAAGCACCGGCUAACUACGUGCCAGCAGCCGCGGUAAUACGUAGGGUGCGAGCGUUAAUCGGAAUUACUGGGCGUAAAGGGUGCGCAGGCGGUUGAGUAAGACAGAUGUGAAAUCCCCGAGCUUAACUCGGGAAUGGCAUAUGUGACUGCUCGACUAGAGUGUGUCAGAGGGAGGUGGAAUUCCACGUGUAGCAGUGAAAUGCGUAGAUAUGUGGAAGAACACCGAUGGCGAAGGCAGCCUCCUGGGACAUAACUGACGCUCAGGCACGAAAGCGUGGGGAGCAAACAGGAUUAGAUACCCUGGUAGUCCACGCCCUAAACGAUGUUAACUAGUUGUUGGGAUGUAACAAUCUCAGUAACGCAGCCAACGCGAGAAGUUAACCGCCUGGGAAGUACGGUCGCAAGACUAAAACUCAAAGGAAUUGACGGGGACCCGCACAAGCGGUGGAUGA
RNAcentral lists this ribosomal RNA (947 nucleotides) under human gut metagenome. Its description in RNAcentral is "bacterial SSU rRNA". It matches the Rfam family "Bacterial small subunit ribosomal RNA", at positions 8 to 939 of the family's 1533-position model. The record is from RNAcentral.